AAUAGAUACCCUGUUAGUCCACGCCGUAAACGAUGAGUGCUAAGUGUUAGAGGGUUUCCGCCCUUUAGUGCUGCAGCAAACGCAUUAAGCACUCCGCCUGGGGAGUACGGUCGCAAGACUGAAACUCAAAGGAAUUGACGGGGGCCCGCACAAGCGGUGGAGCAUGUGGUUUAAUUCGAAGCAACGCGAAGAACCUUACCAGGUCUUGACAUCCUUCGCUACUUCUAGAGAUAGAAGGUUCCCCUUCGGGGGACGGAGUGACAGGUGGUGCAUGGUUGUCGUCAGCUCGUGUCGUGAGAUGUUGGGUUAAGUCCCGCAACGAGCGCAACCCUUGAUCUUAGUUGCCAGCAUUCAGUUGGGCACUCUAAGAUGACUGCCGGUGACAAACCGGAGGAAGGUGGGGAUGACGUCAAAUCAUCAUGCCCCUUAUGACCUGGGCUACACACGUGCUACAAUGGAUGGUACAAAGGGCUGCAAGACUGCGAAGUCAAGCCAAUCCCAUAAAACCAUUCUCAGUUCGGAUUGCG
RNAcentral lists this ribosomal RNA (527 nucleotides) under uncultured bacterium. Its description in RNAcentral is "bacterial SSU rRNA". It matches the Rfam family "Bacterial small subunit ribosomal RNA", at positions 777 to 1302 of the family's 1533-position model. The record is from RNAcentral.